Molecule: small RNA, 107 nt
Filed under: Marmota monax (woodchuck)
Lineage: Eukaryota; Metazoa; Chordata; Mammalia; Rodentia; Sciuridae
Source: RNAcentral
GUGGGGUGCAGUGGUGCACGCCUGUAAUCCCUGAAGCUUGGGAAACUGAGAUAGGAGGAUCUCGAGUUCAAAGCCAGAUUCAGCAACUCAGUGAGACCCUGUCUCUA